GACGAAAGGACAGCACUGCCCGGUAUGAAUACUCUGAAUCUUUCUCACACAGGUGAUCCUCGAAGAAUAUUUACUGGAUCUUUCAGAGCCGGAAACAGUGGAGCACUCACCAGCUGAUGCCUCUGAAGACUACAUAAUCAGAGAUGGUGCAUAAGAAGAUGGCUCACUCCAGGAAAGGUGUCCUGAAGCACUGUCAGAGACAGAGCCAUAACUGGUUUGCUCUCUGGGGAGAGUUAAUGGAGCGUGGGGAAUUGGUCUUGUUAUAUCAAUGAAAUUUAGCUAUGUAUGUGAAUUACCACCCACAAGGUUUCAGAUGAGUAGGUUUCAUUUCUGCUCUCAAGUUGUGCGAGGUGGGAGAUGUGAGAGGAGAAGGCGGAUGGAAUCAUCUUUCAUCUUUCAUAAAGCUACUGUCAUUUCUACAGGGCACUACUGGGAUCGUAAAAACGGCAAUUAGAAAUGUUGAUCUGAACGCCAGCCCUGUGCAAUUUGAGAUAAAAAUACAGACUUGCAAUCACAGUUUUUCCAUAUCCUGCA
RNAcentral lists this long non-coding RNA (534 nucleotides) under Numida meleagris (helmeted guineafowl). RNAcentral describes it as "lncRNA (ENSNMEG00000019078.1)". The record is from RNAcentral. Lineage: Eukaryota; Metazoa; Chordata; Aves; Galliformes; Numididae.